CACCCCACCCCCGAUUUUCCUUUCCUCUCUCUCUCUCUCUCUCCUUUUUGCGAGGCUGUGCUGUUUGCAGAAGCGCUGGGUCUCCAUCAUCGAGCCUGCAAAAGAAAAAAAGAGGAGAGGGUAGAGAGGAGGAGGAGGAGGAGGAAAGGAGGAAGGAGGAGGGGGCGCACGCGGAGGGGGGGGAUCGCAACCGAUCAGCCUGCCGGAGUGGGCCUGAGCGGGUCGCAGCCGUUGGGUAAGCGCUCCAGGGCCCCCCCUUUGCCCCCUCCCCCUGCUCUCCUCCGCCCCCCCCCUUUGGACCACAUUUCGCCCCCCCCCCCUCCCCGACACAAUGCAAGGCGUCUGUUAGCGCCCUGGCCUCCCUGGCGAUGUGAGCCCCCCAUUGCAGGGUGCUGGUGGUGGUGGGGGGCACCCAGGCGAGCGAGGCAUCGGUUGGGCCGGGGGGGCUAUGUGGUGUCCGCGACACCGGCAGAUCCGCUGAACCAUGAUGAAGACCGAACCCCACUCCGGUCCCGGGGGCAGCAACGCGGGUAACGGCGCCGGCUUAAGGAGCGCCUCGCCUCACCGGAACGCCUACGAAGCCGGCAUCCAGGGCUUGAAAGCCCCCAAGGAUGCCCUGGGCGACCCCGAGAGCGAGGAGGCCAAGCGAGCCGCCCGCAACAAGAAGUAUGGCUCCAACGUCCACCGGAUCAAGAACAUGUUCCUGCAGAUGGGCACGGCGCCGGGCGAGGGGGCGGUGGACCUGGCCAAGAUGAAGGAGAAGCCCGUCCGCCUGUCCUUGCCCCGGGCCAGCAGCCUCAACGAGAACGUGGACCACAGCGCCUUGCUCAAGCUGGGCACCAGCGUGUCCGAGCGGGUCAGCCGCUUCGACUCCAAGCCGGACAAGCCCCUGUCCAAGCUGCAGGAGACCCGCAAGAUCUUCGAGCGGAGCCUCCAGGAGAAGGAGACCACCAACAAGCUUCUCCUCAGGAAGGAGCGGGCCGGCUUCCAGGACCGCAAGCUGGACGUGGUGGUCCGCUUCAACGGCAGCACCGAGUCGCUGGACAAGCUGGACGCCGAGGCCGUGUCACCCACCGUCAGCCAGCUCAGCGCCGUCUUCGAGAAGGCCGACUUGAGGAACAACCUCCACAAGGCCCCCGGCAAAGUCGGGCCCCUCAACUCCAAGAUUGUCCCCAAGAGGUCCAGGGUUUUCCUCCAGGCUCCGGAAGGGGCCAAAGUGGAAGGACGGGGGACCGACGGGCCUGUCCUUCAGGUAAGGGGCAGGCUGCCCGAAGGUGACAAAAACCAGGCCAAGCUUCCUGCUGGCACCUCAGCAGUGGCCAGACCUGGGGACAAUAACAGCAGCCUCCGUCCCCAGAAGGUCCAAGAGGUCCGGAAGAUAAAGCCCGUGGAAGUGGAGGAGAGCGGGGAUUCGGAGCAGGAGUUUGAGGCGGCGGAAGUGGCGGUGGCGGCGGAGGAGCACGGCAAGGCCUCCAAGGGGUCCGACACCACCAGGGCCGAAGUGAUCCAGGCCGAGGUCACGGUGCACGCGGCCUUGGAAAAUGGCGGACAGGCUGGGGAGAGACACCUAGAGACUCCAGACCCGUUGACAGACGCUUACUGUGAGGGCAAGGCUGAGGGACCGGAGGAGAAUGACUUGGCCGAUGAGUCUAAGAAGGAGGACUUCUCUGAGGCCGACCUGGUGGACAUUAGUGCCUACAGCGGGCUGGGGGAGGACUCGGGAGGGAGCGGGCUGGAUGAAGACGAGGAUGCCGAUGGACUGUACGCGCCAGAAUCCAGUUGUGUGGAGAUUCCUGGGUUGUCGGAGGAGGAGGAAGCUGCCCCCAACCGCAAGAUCCACUUCAGCACGGCCCCCAUACAGGUUUUCAGCACUUAUUCCAAUGAGGAAUACGACCGGCGGAAUGAAGAUGUCGAUCCCAUGGCAGCCUCGGCAGAAUAUGAGCUUGAAAAGCGAGUGGAGCGGCUAGAUCUCUUUCCCGUUGAGCUUGAGAAAGAUUCCGAAGGACUUGGGAUCAGCAUCAUCGGGAUGGGGGCUGGGGCUGACAUGGGCCUCGAGAAACUUGGCAUCUUUGUCAAGACGGUGACGGAAGGCGGAGCGGCUCAUCGAGAUGGCAGAAUCCAGGUGAAUGAUCUUAUCGUUGAAGUGGAUGGCACCAGUUUGGUGGGCGUGACCCAAAGCUUUGCGGCCUCGGUGCUGAGGAACACCAAGGGUAGAGUCCGGUUUCUGAUCGGCAGGGAGAAGCCGGGAGAGCAAAGUGAGGUAGCGCAGCUGAUCCAGCAAACCCUGGAACAAGAACGGUGGCAACGGGAAAUGAUGGAGCAACGAUACACUCAAUACACCGAGGAGGAUGAGGAAACGGGUGAAUACGCGACUGAUGAAGACGAGGAGAUGAGUCCCAUGUUCCCCAGUAGCGAGAUGGCCAUCGAGGUCUUCGAGCUGGCUGAAAAUGAAGACAUGCUGUCUCCCGUCGAGAUGGAUCCAGAAAAACUUGUGCACAAAUUUAAGGAGCUCCAGAUCAAACAUGCUGUGACUGAAGCAGAAAUACAGCAGCUGAAAAGAAAGCUGCAGUCCAUCGAACAAGAGAAAUCCCGCUGGCGCCUCGAGAAAGCCCAGCUGGAGCAAAGCGUGGAAGAGAACAAGGAGCGCAUGGAGAAGCUGGAGGGCUACUGGAUGGAGGCCCAGAACCUGUGCCAGGCCGUGGACGAGCACUUGAAAGAGACCCAGGCUCAGUACCAGACCCUGGAGCGGAAGUACAGCAAAGCAAAGCGGCUGAUCAAGGAGUACCAGCAGAAGGAGAUCGAAUUCCUCAAGAAAGAGACAGCUCAACGGCGCAUCCAAGAGGAGUCAGAGCUGACCCACAAGGAGGAAGUCGACAAACUGCAAGAGAAGGUGGGCAUCAAGGACGGCGCUGGGGGCUUGCCUUGAACCCCGAGCAGCAGAGGAAAGGAAGGGAAGAAGGGAAGGAAGAAAGGAAGGAGAGGGCUUUGCCGUGACUGGAGAGGCCUUGAAUUGAGCUCAGGGACGCGAUGGGACUCAUUCUUUCCAUUUCCUGGCACGUGGGGAGGGGACGCACACGGGCGCGCUGAUCUUGUUGAACUCGUUUAGAGAUGGGCAUUCAUGGUCGAAGCUGGCAAGAUCCUGAGUCAAGUGCCAGAUCACUAGUUCAACUGGAGAUCCUGCAGCUGAAGUGGGGCGGGGGGGUGGGGGAGGGGAAGAGGGAAGAAAGAUUUGGACCCUUUGACAUCCUGUAUAGAGAACUGAAUCCCAUGCCUGUGUCAAAAUUGGAUCCUUCAACUGAACACUGAGAACUUAGCUAGAUCUUGCUGAAUUCAGUGGAUCCUUGUACAUUGGACCCACACGGUACCUUUCCCCAGACCCUGUGGUAAUGAGAAACAUACCAGAUCCUCACGCUUUUACACGCCAGAUCCCAUCACGCUCUCUUCGGGUUCUGCGGUUGAUUCACUGGGUUGAAGGAUGUUUUGCUUCCAGACUGGACACGUGCAUAGUGGAUCCUCUCGGGAUCCUGCAUUGGACACUUGGUCUCAUUUGAUCCCGCAACAGAUCUCAUGGUUAAAUGCUAACCAUCCCCUUGCUGAGCUUUAGCGGGUCCUUCUCACCUCCUGGAUCCUGUGUCAGAUCUCUGAACUGGAGGCGAAGCUGCAGACUUUGAAAAAUUCCAACCCGACUUAAAAACAAACAAACAAAAAAAAAGAGCAGAGAAAACAUAUAAACAAACCAGAGCAAUUAAUUCUUCUUCUUCUUACUACUACUACUACUAUUAUUAUUUGCAAGGGGCACCAAGUAGACAUUUGUCCCUUUUGUGCCCGCUGUCUAUUCUUACCCCGUCCUUCGCCUGAUGUCCUGUUUCCCCCCCUCCAGGGAAGCCAGACUCAACACAGCCCGAGGAUAGCCGGUCACCUUACUUUUGUGGGGAGGGUGCAGGAGAGCGAGGCCGUGAAAGGGCGAGUGGGUAGCCUUCAACUGGGGAGGGGGGCUGCCGAGGCACAACCCGGUCACCUCUCGAAGGGGGCGAAUUGUUGUUCAGUUUCCAUGUCCAGUGUGCGUCUUGUGUCAACUGGAUCGAAGGACCGCAGAGGGCGGGGAGGCGGCGAUCCUGUCUGUCCAGCCAUUCUUUGUCUCCCGUUCCAUCUGCCUGGUGAAAAACCUACACUGUAAGAUCAGGACUGAGACCUGUUGCCGUCCCUCUAGCCCCCCCCCCCCCCCUUCUGCACAUUGUCUUCUCGGCCCUCUGGUAGCACUGGUGGGAAGCCGCACAGCUCCAGGACUCUGCCAGUGAGAAGGGAGGCCAGCUCUUUCCGUUUUGUUUCCUGGAUCUUAAAUCUUUUGGGGGAAGGGGCGGGGGGGACAGGGGCGGGGCAGUUGUUUGGGCUUUGGGGUUGGACGAUCUUGCCUUUAAUUUUCCAUCCUUUUGGACAAUAUGGAAUCCAUUAUUCUCUAUGUUUCGUGCAAUGGUGGGAAAAAAAUGUCUGUGUAUUUUUUAUUUUAUUUUAUUUACGGAGGGGGUCAGGAGUAGAUUUUCGCUGGCUGCCGUCUUGGGGGACUGUGAAUAGGUUUGGACCUGGACCCCCUACUAGCGACCGAGUGGACUUUGGCACUGGGAAGAGAACCCUUUUUUUGGCCUUGUUUUGUUUUCUCCAUGUUGCAUUUUCAUUCAUGUCAUUUGAGAUGAUUUUCUGAGUGCUAAAAUCCAAGGGACUUAUGAACUGGAUGCUCCUGGGAGAACUGAGCCUUCAGACUGAAGAUCCCAAGACUAGCCACCAACUGAGACUUUUGGACCACCACAGAACAGAGCAGAGAAGAACCUCUCCAUUCCUUGGGAGGAGUGAAGAACCGCCUCUGCCUACAUUCGCGAGCCAGUUCCUACUCUCACGACUCUGCAAUUGAUUGAAGGAGACUUGCAAAGCUUCUCCACAGUCUGCGCACACACCGUAGGCCAGCGACGCCACUGUCAUCACUGGGGUGUUUUGAGGAGGGGGCUUUUCCCAAGCGGGCAACAGCCAAAUGAACAGGCCAGAUCCUCAGCCACAAAGUGGGUGAUGAAUCUUGGGUCAUUCAACCGUGUAAAAGCUGACACCCAACAUUCCUUCUUUCUGGCGCUCUGCCUUCAUCCCACAAGGAAGCAGGAGGGUGUGAUAUCAGCCGUCCCUUGCAUUACAUCACACAAACACACAUUCUAGGGACGGGUCCGUUUUGUUUUGGACCAGGAGGCUGCAACUGGCCGGCUAGUCCCUCAUUAAAGCAAAGCAGCGAUCUCAGAGUUUUCUGUUCAGAUUCACACUUUUUGACCUCAGAGUCUUUCUUUUUUUUCCAGAAGAGCAGCUGAGAGUAUUGGUGUCCAAAGCGCCGUGGCCUUUUAGUGACUACCUGGGUUGUUGUAAAAUGAGCUUUUGCAGGCGAUAGGGGCUGAAAGCCAGUCAGAAACACUGCCACUGGUUUCUAACGUGCCACCAUGUUUUUAGUCACGGCGUUCUCCAGUCAACCCCGCACCUGUUUAAGCAGACGGCAAAAUAUUAUGACUGAAAUUCCCCGUGCCUCGCAACAUUAGACAUCAUUGGUUAUCCUGGGCAAAAUUAUCCUGGGCCAAGUGACAAUAUGAUACACACACAGCACAGAGACUUGGGGGGGGGGGGGGCGGGGAAGCGAACGCUGAGUGGCGCUUCACAAAAUGGCAGCAAUAACACUUGGAAGCUGCUUUCCCCCCGUGGGCCUGAGGUGUCGAGGAAGGUGAGGUAGAAAUUGAAUAAAUACAUAAAAAUGGCUGGCAUGAGGGGUGCCCACAACAGUUCAAGGGGUCACCAAGAAUGUGCAGUGCCUGUUGUGGGAAUUCCACAUGACUCUGGCCAACAAUCGCCCCCUUUGUAGGGUUCAUGUUUGAAUCAGCCCUCAGAGAGUCAGUGAACAAGCUUACCCGCUACUUGAAACGUGGCCAAGUAAACCCCCAAGCUGAAAUGCAUUGGAGUUCUUUCUUUCCUUACUUAUUGUUCCUACCAGUUUCUAUCGCUGCCUUCCUGGGAAAUAUUUUACCUCAGGACUCAUUCGAGGGCACAGGGUUUCAGCGACCCCCUGGUUUUGGAAUUAGCAUGGGUAGCCACGACAGAACUGAUUUAAGAGAAUCUUUCUCCAGACUCAAGAGUGUUGAUAUUUAACAAUCUCUAUCAGCUGCUCUCUCACAGAUUAAAAGCAAAAUGAAACUGGAUGCUAUAAAAAUGGGUGCAAAUCCAUCCAAGAUUCCUCCCCCCACCCACCCAGGGGGAACCACCUGCUGCUUCAUUCACAUUCCCUUUAACAGUAUUCGCAAAGCGUCUCCCUCACAGAGUCUGAAAUGUACCUUGUGAAGUGAUUGUUGGAAAAGUCACUUUUUAUCUCUCAAAAACAGCCAAAAGGAUGCUUUUUUUAAAAAAACUGUAAAUUAUUUUUCCCCCCUAACAGUAUUGUGUCGGGAAAGGAUGGUUCUGGCGAGUUUUGUCUCUAAACUGGAAAAUGUGGAAAGUUCUCUUUCUCUCCCACAAGCUUUUCAUGUCAAGGGCGUAUCUCUGACUUCCACUCGAGAGGUGUGCCCCUGUUUUACCGUUUACUUCUUGUGGGGUGUACUGUCCAGAGGCAUGGAGAAGAAACCUUCCUUUGAAAUCUCACCUUUUUCUGCUACGAUUCCAACAGUAACUGGAUGUGAGUUUCAGGGCCCACGACAUGGAGAUGUUUUGUGGUCACUGGCUGGGUCAGUUUUGGAUGGCGGGCUAACACUUUGGCCCUGAUCUCCGUUCACAAUCCAGACAGGUCCAGAUCCCAUAAUGAGAAAACGGAGCUCCUCCGGAAGAGAAAAUCUGCCAUGUUUCCUUAAUAUGUAUCAUAACUGCCAGGUAUGCUUGUCUGUUUAUCCCCGCCCUGUGGAAUUUUCAUUUCCUCAUUGAGGAACUUGGAUUUCAGAUGUACAGAAACCAUCGCGUUUGUUUGUUUUUUUGUUCUGUUUUCUCCUUAUCCAGUUUGGCUGCUUUAUAACAGGGGGAAACUGUUAUCCAUACCCCCUGAAUGUCAAUGAGACGCGGGUGCCCUGCUCGAAGCAACUUCAUGAGGGGUAGAUCGCCUUUGUGUACAUUCUGGCCAGUUUUCUUGCAGAUUAAUCCAGGGGAGGUGGGGGAGGGACGACGAAAUGGGGAGAAUAUUUCCCUGGGCAUGCUUGUAUGAGUGGACCGAGGAUUAAGUGUUGUGAUUGCUCCACAGGAAACCUGGCUGUGGCAGUUUACUCUGGAUUAAACAAUCCAAAAUUAAAAGGUGAGAUGUUGUGUCAAAGACGACUGUUUAUUCUGUGGUUUGGGUCUGUGGAGAAGGAUUACUUUCGCACCCCCUUGACAUGGCCUUGGCCAAAUUGCGUGCCGUUCAGAAGACCAGGUCUAUUUGAAGCACUGCCCGCUUAGGGAAUUUGAAUUUUGUCCUUUGGUAUUCACGGGGGUUGCAAAAUGCUGAGCCCAUGAUUCAAAGACGAGGCUUUAUGUCACUCUCUGCCAUGUGGGCAACAUGCGGUUGGCGUCUCCUUCAGAACAUGUGGAGCUUCUGGAUCAUUCGUGGCUACAGAGGCAGGUUAAACUGUGGCCUACUGUCUGGGAGGUAGUGGGAAUGCAGUUUCCCCUCGAGGGACUCAGGAAUCGUCUUGAGGACAAAUAAGGUACUCUUCUCCCCUCCCCGUAAUCCAGGGUUGAGUGGAUAAAAAAAAAUAUUUUCACCCAGGAAGUUGGCAUAAGAGGUGUGCAGUGAACUGUAAAACAGUAAAUGGAUGCAAGUGGGAAGGGAAAAAAAUAUAUGAUGGGUCGAGAUGUAAUGUUCUGGAAAAUGAAUAAAAAUCAUCUUAAAUUUUAAUUUAAUCUCCUUUACACAGGUAUAAAUGUGUAUGUAUAUAAUAUAUAUAUAUGUAUGUAUGUAUGUACGUAUUGUUCAUGGUUUUGUAUGCCUGUUGUCCUUUCAUCCGGUCACACUAGAUAAACAGCAGGUCUUUGUUUCCACCCUGUCUCCGGUUU
RNA transcript from Sphaerodactylus townsendi, 8031 nucleotides. It is a transcript of the gene named protein phosphatase 1 regulatory subunit 9B, with no coding region annotated. Lineage: Eukaryota; Metazoa; Chordata; Lepidosauria; Squamata; Sphaerodactylidae. The record is from RefSeq and is a predicted model, not a curated record. The transcript is spliced from 10 exons.